RNAcentral lists this ribosomal RNA (513 nucleotides) under uncultured bacterium. RNAcentral describes it as "bacterial SSU rRNA". It matches the Rfam family "Bacterial small subunit ribosomal RNA", at positions 28 to 507 of the family's 1533-position model. The record is from RNAcentral.
GACGAACGCUGGCGGCGUGCUUACCACAUGCAAGUCGAACGGGAGGAAAAGAGAAGCUGGCUUCUUUUUGAAUCUAGGGGCAAACGGGUGAGUAACACGUAAACAACCUGCCUUCAGGAGGGGGACAACAAACGGAAACGACUGCUAAUACCGAAGGUGUUCCGGAAACCGCAUGAUUUCCGGAAAAAAGGAGGGCCUCUAUUUAUAAGCUAUCGCCUGAAGAGGGGUUGGCGUCUGAUUAGGCAGUUGGGGAGGUAACGGCCCACCAAACCUACAAUCAGUAGCCGGUCUGAGAGGAUGAACGGCCACACUGGAACUGAAACACGGCCCAAACUCCUACGGGAGGCAGCAGGGGGGAAUCUUCCGCAAGGGACAAAAGUCUGACGGAGCACCGCCGCGGGAGUGAUGACGGCCUUCGGGUUGUAAAGCUCUGUGAUCGGGGACAAAGGGCUGGUAUGCUAAUACCAUAUCAAAGUGACGGUACCCGAAUAGCAAGCCACGGCUAACUACGUG